This 136-nucleotide ribosomal RNA is filed under the name Prolemur simus (greater bamboo lemur). Lineage: Eukaryota; Metazoa; Chordata; Mammalia; Primates; Lemuridae. The record is from RNAcentral.
CUCAAUGGCGAUAUCACCCAGAAAGCUCUUGAUCUUGUCAGAUCUUAGAAGCUAAGCACGGUCAGGCCUGGUUAGUAUGUGGGUGGGAGAAUGGGGGCUGCUCUGUUCCCUUGGGAACCAGGACUCCAUCCUGAGA